UACGUAGGGGGCUAGCGUUGUCCGGAAUCAUUGGGCGUAAAGAGCGUGUAGGCGGCCAGGUAGGUCUGCUGUGAAAACUCGAGGCUCAACCUCGAGACGUCGGCGGAAACCAUCAGGCUAGAGUCCGGAAGAGGAGAGUGGAAUUCCUGGUGUAGCGGUGAAAUGCGCAGAUAUCAGGAAGAACACCCGUGGCGAAGGCGGCUCUCUGGGACGGUACUGACGCUGAGGAGCGAAAGCGUGGGGAGCGAACAGG
This 253-nucleotide ribosomal RNA is filed under the name uncultured bacterium. RNAcentral's name for it is "partial 16S ribosomal RNA". It matches the Rfam family "Bacterial small subunit ribosomal RNA", at positions 524 to 776 of the family's 1533-position model. The record is from RNAcentral.